UCGGGAAUAUUGCGCAAUGGAGGAAACUCUGACGCAGUGACGCCGCGUAUAGGAAGAAGGUUUUCGGAUUGUAAACUAUUGUCAUUAGGGAAGAAAAAAGACAGUACCUAAGGAGGAAGCUCCGGCUAACUACGUGCCAGCAGCCGCGGUAAUACGUAGGGAGCGAGCGUUAUCCGGAAUUAUUGGGUGUAAAGGGUGCGUAGACGGGAAAAUAAGUUAGUUGUGAAAUCCCUCGGCUCAACUGAGGAACUGCAACUAAAACUGUUAUUCUUGAGUGCAGGAGAGGAAAGUGGAAUUCCUAGU
RNAcentral lists this ribosomal RNA (303 nucleotides) under uncultured bacterium. RNAcentral describes it as "bacterial SSU rRNA". It matches the Rfam family "Bacterial small subunit ribosomal RNA", at positions 355 to 674 of the family's 1533-position model. The record is from RNAcentral.